RNAcentral lists this ribosomal RNA (514 nucleotides) under uncultured Pelagibacterales bacterium. RNAcentral's name for it is "bacterial SSU rRNA". It matches the Rfam family "Bacterial small subunit ribosomal RNA", at positions 104 to 653 of the family's 1533-position model. The record is from RNAcentral. Lineage: Bacteria; Pseudomonadati; Pseudomonadota; Alphaproteobacteria; Candidatus Pelagibacterales.
GGGUGAGUAUAAUGUGGGAAUCUGCCUUUUGGUCUGGAAUAACACGAGGAAACUUGUGCUAAUACCGGAUAAGCCUUUACAGGGAAAGUUUUAAUGCCAAAAGAUGAGCCCGCACUUGAUUAGCUAGUUGGUAAGGUAAUAGCUUACCAAGGCAACGAUCAAUAGCUGUUCUUAGAGGAAGACCAGCCACAUUGGGACUGAGACACGGCCCAAACUCCUACGGGAGGCAGCAGUGGGGAAUCUUGCACAAUGGGGGCAACCCUGAUGCAGCGAUGCCGCGUGAGUGAAGAAGGCCUUUGGGUUGUAAAACUCUUUCGUCGGGGAAGAAAAUGACUGUACCCGAAUAAGAAGGUCCGGCUAACUUCGUGCCAGCAGCCGCGGUAAUACGAAGGGACCUAGCGUAGUUCGGAAUUACUGGGCUUAAAGAGUUCGUAGGUGGUUAAAAAAGUUGAUGGUGAAAUCCCAAGGCUCAACCUUGGAACUGCCAUCAAAACUUUUUAGCUAGAGUAUGAUA